AGAGUUUGAUCCUGGCUCAGGAUGAACGCUGGCGGCAUGCCUAAUACAUGCAAGUCGAACGAGAGGAAGGAAAGCUUGCUUUUCUGAAUCUAGUGGCGAACGGGUGAGUAACACGUAGGUAACCUGCCCAUGUGCCCGGGAUAACUUCUGGAAACGGAUGCUAAAACCGGAUAGGUAGCAGACAAGCAUUUGACUGCUAUUAAAGUGGCUUUGGCCAUGAACAUGGAUGGACCUGCGGUGCAUUAGCUGGUUGGUGAGGUAACGGCCCACCAAGGCGACGAUGCAUAGCCGGCCUGAGAGGGCGGCCGGCCACAUUGGGACUGAGACACGGCCCAAACUCCUACGGGAGGCAGCAGUAGGGAAUUUUCGUCAAUGGGGGGAACCCUGAACGAGCAAUGCCGCGUGAGUGAGGAAGGUCUUCGGAUCGUAAAGCUCUGUUGUAAGAGAAAAACGGCACUCAUAGGGAAUGAUGAGUGAGUGAUGGUAUCUUACCAGAAAGUCACGGCUAACUACGUGCCAGCAGCCGCGGUAAUACGUAGGUGGCGAGCGUUAUCCGGAAUGAUUGGGCGUAAAGGGUGCGUAGGUGGCAGAUCAAGUCUGGAGUAAAAGGUAUGGGCUCAACCCGUACUGGCUCUGGAAACUGAUCAGCUAGAGAACAGAAGAGGACGGCGGAACUCCAUGUGUAGCGGUAAAAUGCGUAGAUAUAUGGAAGAACACCGGUGGCGAAGGCGGCCGUCUGGUCUGGAUUCUGACACUGAAGCACGAAAGCGUGGGGAGCAAAUAGGAUUAGAUACCCUAGUAGUCCACGCCGUAAACGAUGAGAACUAGGUGUUGGGGGAAUAACUCAGUGCCGCAGUUAACGCAGUAAGUUCUCCGCCUGGGGAGUAUGCACGCAAGUGUGAAACUCAAAGGA
RNAcentral lists this ribosomal RNA (913 nucleotides) under human gut metagenome. Its description in RNAcentral is "bacterial SSU rRNA". It matches the Rfam family "Bacterial small subunit ribosomal RNA", at positions 8 to 908 of the family's 1533-position model. The record is from RNAcentral.